This 460-nucleotide ribosomal RNA is filed under the name uncultured bacterium. RNAcentral describes it as "partial 16S ribosomal RNA". It matches the Rfam family "Bacterial small subunit ribosomal RNA", at positions 338 to 795 of the family's 1533-position model. The record is from RNAcentral.
CCUACGUGUGGCUGCAGUGAGGAAUAUUGGUCAAUGGGCGCGAGCCUGAACCAGCCAAGCAGCGUGAAGGAUGACUGCCCUAUGGGUUGUAAACUUCUUUUAUACAAGAAUAAACUGAGGCACGCGUGCCUUUCUGUAUGUACUUUAUGAAUAAGGAUCGGCUAACUCCGUGCCAGCAGCCGCGGUAAUACGGAGGAUCCGAGCGUUAUCCGGAUUUAUUGGGUUUAAAGGGAGCGUAGGCGGUGUGUUAAGUUAGUUGUGAAAGUUGGGGGCUCAACGUGGAAAUUGCAAUUGAUACUGGGCGGCUAGAGAGCAGUUGAGGUAGGCGGAAUGCGUGGUGUAGCGGUGAAAUGCUUAGAGAGCAUGCAGAACACCGAUUGAGAAGGCAGCUUACAAAGCUACUACUGACGUUGAUGCACGAAAGUGUGGGGAUCAAACAGGAUUAGAUACCCGAGUAGUC